RNAcentral lists this long non-coding RNA (1084 nucleotides) under Homo sapiens (human). Its description in RNAcentral is "HSALNT0072141". The record is from RNAcentral. Lineage: Eukaryota; Metazoa; Chordata; Mammalia; Primates; Hominidae.
UUUUGAGUUUUCAGUGUUCUCACACAGAUUCUUUCUCAUCUUUAUGGGCUUAUCCACCUUCCAUCUUUGAGGUUGCUGACCUUCGGACAGGGGAAGAUGAUAGCCUGCCCCUUCCUCUGGGAGCUCUGUGCCACUGAGGUACGAACUUGUUGCCAGUAUGAACACACCUAUAAGAUGUGACUGGAGACAAGUUGAGAAGUCUUAUCUAGUCAGGAAGAACAAAAACAGGCACUGACUUAAAAAAGAAGUCUGGGCACGUUUUUCUAGAGCAGCUGUGCUAUGCCGGGUGUUCACUUCCACUCCUGGUUGCCUCAGACACUCUGAAGCCCUAAUGCUGAAAUGGCUGAGUUGCCCCAACAGCAAAGACAACAGUCUGGUCCUCCCCCUGGGAGCUCUGACUCAGGGAGGCCUGAAACCUCUGUCGGACAGAGAACAGCAGUGAAGGCAGCUGGAGACCCUAGUUGAAAGGCUUCACCUGCUGAUUAGAAAUGUGGUCGGGGACUGACUUAAACAAGAGUCUGGCCACGUUUUUGUAGUGUGGCCAUGCUUAGCUGAGGUUCCUCUUCCACCCCUUGUCACCUUGGGCUUUCCAAAGCCCGCAAACCAGAACGGCUAGUCACCCAAACAGCAAAGGUGGUGGCCUGCCCCUCUCUCUGGGAGCUCUGUCCCGUGAACACUUCAAAUUUCUAUUGGCCAAGGAAUGCUGGUGGCGGUAGCUGGAGGCCCCAUUUGGGAGGUCCUGUACAGUGAUGUGCGACAGGGUCGGGGGCCUGCUUACAGAACCAUUCUGGCCAUGAUUUGGUAAAGCAGCUAUGCUGUGCUGUGGGAUCUCUUCUGCCCCUUGUCGGUUUAUACUCUCCAAAGCCCUCAGGCUGGAAUGACUAAGUUGCCUGAACAGGAAAGAUGGCGGCCUGCCCCAUCUAUUCUCUCAGAGUUCAUCUUGUUUGAUGGAGCUUAAUUUUUAGCCUGUUAAUUUUAUUGUCUACAUUAGACUUCUUCGGAAAGAAUCUGCUAUAUUUUAGGUUAGAUAUAUGAGAAUUCAUUGUUUUCUGUAAAUAAACCUGUUCAUGUCUUGUUCUCUGGA